UACGUAGGGGCCGAGCGUUGUCCGGAUUUAUUGGGCGUAAAGCGCGCGCAGGCGGCUUGGCGCGCCCGACGUGAAAGCCCCCGGCUUAACCGGGGAGAGUCGUCGGGGACGGCCGGGCUUGAGGGCGGGAGAGGGUGGUGGAAUUCCCGGUGUAGUGGUGAAAUGCGUAGAGAUCGGGAGGAACACCUGUGGCGAAGGCGGCCACCUGGGCCGACCCUGACGCUGAGGCGCGAAGGCGUGGGGAGCGAACAGG
This 253-nucleotide ribosomal RNA is filed under the name uncultured bacterium. Its description in RNAcentral is "partial 16S ribosomal RNA". It matches the Rfam family "Bacterial small subunit ribosomal RNA", at positions 524 to 776 of the family's 1533-position model. The record is from RNAcentral.